This 376-nucleotide ribosomal RNA is filed under the name uncultured bacterium. Its description in RNAcentral is "bacterial SSU rRNA". It matches the Rfam family "Bacterial small subunit ribosomal RNA", at positions 524 to 898 of the family's 1533-position model. The record is from RNAcentral.
UACAGAGGGGGCAAGCGUUAUUCGGAAUUAUUGGGCGUAAAGGGCGCGUAGGCGGUUUUUUAAGUCAGAUGUGUAAUCCCCGAGCUCAACUUGGGAACUGCAUCUGAGACUGGAAGGCUAGAGUACUGGAGAGGGUGGUAGAAUUCCACGUGUAGCGGUGAAAUGCGUAGAGAUGUGGAGGAAUACCAGUGGCGAAGGCGGCCACCUGGACAGUGACUGACGCUGAGGCGCGAAAGUGUGGGUAGCAAACAGGAUUAGAUACCCUGGUAGUCCACGCUGUAAACGAUGAACACUUGGUGUGGUGGGAGUUGACCCCUGCCGUGCCGGAGCUAACGCGUUAAGUGUUCCGCCUGGGGAGUACGGUCGCAAGGCUGAA